GGCUAUAGCUCAGUUGGUAGAGCAACUCGUUUACACGCGCGCCAAUGUUUUUCAAGGGAGUUCAUCAUACAAUCAGAAAAAUCGAUCUUGUUGAGAAAUCGAUGUCUUACUCCAUAACUUUGAGGGAACCAUAGCCUGACAAAGGGUUCGGUCCAAUUUGGACGUCCAUUUAGGAGGUGCCAAACAGACCCCAUCAUUGAUUUGAGAUCUUGAUAAGGUGAAUACCCAGUCUAUUCAAUGCUAGGCAUAAUGAGAGUAUAAGGACCUCAAAAAAAUCUCUUUUCGUCAUAUGAACUUUAAGGUGUAUGAAGUUUCAUAUUUGAUUUUUUAAGCAGAAACGAUAGAGACUUCAUUUAACUUAGGUUUAUUUAGGCCAGAGACAGACCUACGUCAAGAUAAUCCCACCUUUGAAACACUUUGGUAAUGCUCCCAAAUAAUGAAUCAGAGCACAUGGAGCCAUUUCCUUAUCUUUUUUUCUGUCAAGAAAAAAAAUGGCAGACUAACUGCUAUAAAUAUCAGUUAAUGAAAGAGCCCAAUGCAAAAAAAAUGCAUGUUGGGUCUUUGAAACAGUUCAGAUCAUUUUAAUAAUAAUAAGUUUGAUCUGUUUUACCGAGAAGGUCUACGGUUCAAGUCCGUAUAGCCCUAUAAAAUAAAAUAAAAAUGAAAAAAUAAAAUUGUAUAAUUUUCAUUUCUUCAUUAUUAUUUCUUGCUUGUAACUAAGUGAAAUUCAACUAUUCCUAUAAGUUUACUCACGGCAAUCGUUUAAGUUUAAGCAGAUGAAAGAAAAAACGCAUAUCAAUGGAUCCAAUCGAUAUUUAUUUUUUCAAUUGCAGAUAAACAAACCAACCUUUCGUCAUUAAUCUUCGGAGGCGAAUUACAUAUUCAUAUCCACAAUAAAAGAAUUAGUGAGACCCCCUUUCUUUUGAUAUCCCCAAUCUUAUUGAAUUUUGGAAGUCAAAUCAUUUCACGGGCCUGGUGAAAUGAAAAACUACGAAGAGGAAUUCACAUGGAUUUAGGAAGGGACUGCUGUAUUUGUGUACAAGCUAAAGUUUUUUGAAAAACGAAUAUCUUUGGUCACUUUCAUUAUCAAAUAGGCUUUUCCUUCGUAUACCUUACUUACCUCGACCUAGCGAAGCACAACACAAAAAAGGUAGUCUUCUUUUUCUGUAUUCAACCAAGAAAAACCCCUCCACCUGGAUUCGAAUCCUAAUACUAUUAUUAAAUAAUAAUAAAAUAAUAAAAGGAAUAUACCAACACAAGAUCUUCUAAAUCUUGAGAUGGAAGUUCCUAUACAUUCUCUUCUAUUUGAUUACUUGUUCCAUUCUAGAUCACUAAAUCACUAAGAAAAAAAAUUAAAAUAAAGACCUCCUGAUUCUAUUUAUAGAAAAAAAUAGAAAUAUUUAAAGAAUUUCUAAUUAAAGAAGAAAAAUUAAAGAAAAACUAAGAUAAUUAAUUAAUUUAGAAUUCCCCGUCUUUGGUUUAGAGAAAAAAACAAGAGAAAGAGGAGAAUUUGUAUAAGAGUAAUAUAUAGUUAGAAGGUUCUACUAACUAAAUAAAAUGGAAAUAAGUAUAAUGGAAAUAAAAUCGGAUUCCAGUCGAUGAAUCUUGCAAUGAGAUAUGCCCUACAAUAAACCAAUAAACAAAGCCAAACUAGGCGGUUCGACCAAAAUGAAUUCUUGUUUUGACUAAUAUAGUUAUGGAUGGCUUGACAAUUACAAUUCGAAUCGACCAAUCGAAUCCAGUAUAUUUUCCACGUUCAUAGGAGUGCGUUUAUGUUUCUGCUUUACGAAUAUGGAUUUUUUUGGGCAUUUCUAAUAAUAUCCAUCCUUGUUCCUAUUUUGGCAUUUUUCAUUUCCGGAGUGUUAGCCCCGAUUAGCAAAGGGCCGGAGAAACUUUCUACUUAUGAGUCGGGUAUAGAACCAAUGGGUGAUGCUUGGUUACAAUUUCGAAUCCGUUAUUAUAUGUUUGCUCUAGUUUUUGUUGUUUUUGAUGUUGAAACGGUUUUUCUUUAUCCAUGGGCAAUGAGUUUUGAUGUAUUGGGUGUAUCUAUAUUUAUAGAAGCUUUGAUAUUUGUUCUUAUCUUAAUUAUUGGUUUAGUUUAUGCAUGGAGAAAGGGGGCAUUGGAAUGGUCUUAACUCCUGAAUAUUCAGACAAUAAAAAGAAAAACGAAAAAAAUAAGAUUGAGACAGUUAUGAAUUCCAUUCAGUUUCCUUUACUUGAUCGAAUAGCCCCAAAUUCAGUUAUUUCAACUACAUUAAAUGAUCUUUCAAAUUGGUCAAGACUCUCUAGUUUAUGGCCGCUUCUCUAUGGUACCAGUUGUUGCUUCAUUGAAUUUGCUUCACUAAUAGGCUCACGCUUCGACUUUGAUCGUUAUGGACUAGUACCAAGAUCGACUCCUAGACAAGCAGAUCUAAUUUUAAUGGAUGGAACAGUAACAAUGAAAAUGGCCUCCUCUUUAGUGAGAUUAUAUAAGCAAAUCCCUGAACCAAAAUAUGUUAUUGCUAUGGGAGCCUGUACAAUUACAGGCGGGAUGUUCAAUACCUAUUCUUAUAGUACUGUUCGGGGAGUCGAUAAGCUAAUUCCUGUAGAUGUAUAUUUGCCAGGUUGCCUAACUAAACCGGAAGCGGGUAUAGAUGCUAUAACAAAACUUCGUAAGAAAAUAUCUCGAGAACUCUAUGAAGAUCGAAUUAGGUCUCAACGAGUGAAUCGGUGUUUUACUACCAAUCACAAGUUUCAUGUUCGACGCAGUAUUCAUACGGGAAAUUAUGAUCAAAGAGUUCUUUAUCAACCACCAUCUACUUCAGAGAUCCCUACGGAAAUCUUUUCCAAAUACAAAAAUUCAGUAUCUUCCCCCGAAUUAGUGAAUUAGACAGGAUUCCUUUGUCCAGAAUAAGAAGUGGUGGGUCAAUUUUCAUAAAUUUAAUCGUAAAUGUGAAAUACUUAUACAAAUAAAAAUGCGGGAGAGAUAAAAAAGAUGCAGGGUCGUUUGUCUGCUUGGCUAGUCAAGCAUGGGCUAAUUCAUAGAUCUUUGGGCUUUGAUUACCAAGGAAUAGAGACUUUACAAAUAAAGCCCGAGGAUUGGCAUUCCAUUGCUGUCAUUUUUUAUGUAUAUGGGUACAAUUAUCUCCGCUCUCAAUGUGCCUAUGAUGUAAUGCCUGGCGGGCUGGUAGCUAGUGUGUAUCAUCUUACGAGAAUAGAGGACGGUGUGGAUCAACCAGAAGAGGUAUGCAUAAAAGUCUUUGCCUCCAGGAGGAAUCCUAGAAUUCCGUCUAUUUUUUGGGUUUGGAAAAGCGUGGAUUUUCAAGAACGAAAAUCAUAUGAUAUGUUGGGAAUCUCUUAUGAUAAUCAUCCACGCUUGAAACGUAUCUUAAUGCCUGAAAGUUGGAUAGGAUGGCCCUUACGUAAGGAUUAUAUUGCCCCCAAUUUUAUUGAAAUACAAGAUGCUCAUUGAAUGAUAAGAAAGUUAUUUCUACUUAGACAAUUUAAGAUAUUCAAGGAUUGCACGUUCUGUUCUAGAUUAAGCAGGUAUAAUUUAGGGAAUUGUCAAUGGGCUAACAAAAAAAGACAAUUAAGGAUUCAUUGUAAUUCUCACAUUUAUUUGGAUGAGUCAUACCAAUAGGAUGAACCAAAUGAGUUCUGCAUCAUGAACUUUAUACUGCGCACAUUACUUAGACGGGUUCUAGAAGGGCAUAUAGGAAGGGAUGGAGAAAUCCGAAAUGAAUAAAUCAAAUAUGAAAGAAAAGACAAAGAAAUGAUAGAAUAUCGAAUUCUAUUUCUUUGGAUCUGAGCUGAAUCUUGUCUAUUUCAACCCCCCUGGAUUCGACUUUUGAGCCUUUCAACAAUUAACCAAUUUUACCUUUCGAAUAUGUAUUACGUAUUCAAAUUCGUUUGAACGAGAGGAGAAAAAAAAGAGGAGAUAGAAUCCAAUUCUUUUCGAUACUUUAUCUAAGAAACUCUACCCAUAUAGAACAUAGUAUGGGGUAUAUCUCGCCAAACUGGAUAAAGCUAUUAUUCUAAUCUAGACUCUAAAAGAAUAUGUAUGUUGAUUCAUAUCAAUUAAUUAGAAAUUAAUUCUAGUGAAGAGAGACCCAUACAAAUUAAUCAUGUGCCAGGAACCAGAUUUGAACUGGUGACACGAGGAUUUUCAGUCCUCUGCUCUACCAACUGAGCUAUCCCGGCUAUUCCCAAUCCAGAUUUUUUAUCAAGGUUGGGACUGGUAACCCGAGGAUUUUCAGGGCUAUACCAAUCCCAAUUGGAACCUCGAACAUGAGAAUUUUAAGUCCCCGUUAACAGGAGGAUUUAGAGUCCUCUGGUCUUCCCAAUUGGAACCGUUCGUUAACAUGAGGAUUUUUAGUUUUCUGCUUGUUACUCAGUUCUCUGCUUGUUACUCUAAUUUUAUCUUAACAAAUUUGAUCUUAACACAUAAACGGGUCUUUGUCAAUAGGUCUUUGUCAAUUAAAAGGACAAAAGUCGAUUAAAAAAUUUUAUCAAAGCCGGGGAAUUUCUUCGAUCUUCAAAAAGAUGACUUUGUAAGUUUCAGUAUUGAGUAAUGAUAUUGGUAAUCAUUCAACUAGGGAUUCCUUGCUCAAAGAUGUUCAGUUCUAUGUGUAUCAUAUAUAUCACAAGGCUUAAGAGAAAGCCAUUUACGCUAAAAUCCAUUUCUAAAAGAAAAAUCCAUUUCUAAAAGAAUAGAGUGAAUGAGAAAGAUAAGUAAUUUGGAACUGCUAAGGAAAGGGGGUCGGAGAAAUAGUUGGGGGUUGAAAUAGUCUUUUUGGGGAUAGAGGGACUUGAACCCUCAUGAUUUUAAAAGUCGAUGGAUUUUCCUCUUACUAUAAAUUUCAUUGUUGUCGGUAUUGACAUGUAGAACGGGACUCUAUCUUUAUUCUCAUAUAAUUAAUCAGUUCUUUAAAAGAUUUAUCAGACUAUGGGGUGAAUGAUUUGAUCAGGGAUUCGGGUCGUCAUUAAUCAUUUGAUAUAGUAUUCAAUACGUAUGUAUAUACGUUUAUCCUUCACUUCAUUCUUUUUCUUUCUGAAGUUUCGAUGUAAAGAUUCCUCUACCAACACAUUUAACUCCAUUUGUUAGAAUAGCUUCCAUUGAGUCUCUGCACCUAUCCUUUUUUUCUGAACCUUUAUUUGUUUUCAGAAAAUAGGAUUUGGCUCAGGAUUGCCCAUUUUUGUUCAUUCCAGGGUUUCUCUGAAUUUGAAAGUGAUCACUUAGUAAGUUUCCAUACCAAGGCUCAAUCCAAUUAAGUCCGUAGCGUCUACCGAUUUCGCCAUAUCCCCCUUUCUUUUUGUUUUGAGAUUAGGAUCUCGUUGUGAUGUCAUUCCUUUUUCUUUUUCUUUCAUUUAUACUGGAACCAUUGAAUUCAUUAGAUACCGAUUCCUAUCUCGAAAACGUGUUUUCUCCUCUUUGAUUUUCUUAACUAUCUUCUAUAGGCGACCUUUUUUUAUCCAAUCAAAAAUGAUUUUAUCAUUUCGGAAUCCGCAAUUCAAUAUAGAUGGAUCUAUACCCCAUCUAUAUGUCCCUCUUCCUGUCAUUUUGCCAUUCAAUUUGGAAUACUUGAACGAUCGAUUCUUGUUUUUUAUCUUCACUUUCGCCUGAAAGCGGAGGAAUGUUUCAUUAAUUAUAACUAACCGUUCCAUUAAACAAUUUUUAAAUAAAUAUAGAAUGAGAGAUAUAUAUGAUAUAGAAUCAAAUAUAGAACUGUAGUAAAAAAGAUUUCAAAUGCCAAAAAAAGAAAUGAAAAAGAAUAUUUACCAUUCAAAUUGAAAAUGAAAAUAAAAAGAAUAUUAACAAUCUUUGCAAUCACUAUUUAAUGAUAUUAGUAUUAGAAUUGUUAUUAGAAUUGUGAUAAAUCGAAAUUCUAGAUUGCUAUAGUAAUCCUUAUGCUCUAGAAUCUAGAAUAUUCAAUAUAAUAUUGAAUAGUUAAUAAUUCCAAUUCCAGUAGUUUAGGCAAUUACUAUGCAUAUAAGACUUAUGUGAUGUGGGCCCACUUAGCUCAGAGGUUAGAGCAUCGCAUUUGUAAUGCGAUGAUCAUCGGUUCGAUUCCGAUAGCCGGCUUUUCCCUAUUCUUUGGUUUCAAAGAAACAUUAUCAAUCAUCUAAAAAAUGGAAAAAAAAGAAUAGGGAAAUAGCGCCUUCCUCCUUUUCCAAAAGCUAUCAAUUUAUUAUAGGAACUUCCAAUUAUGUCAGGAAAGGAUUAUAUAUAUAAUAGAAGGGGUUCUGUAUAUUUAUCCAAUUCACCCCAUUCUUCUUUUCUUUAUAGUAUUUAUAUUAAAUAGUAAUAGUACAAGUACACUAUUUCAGUAAACUUCGCUUCAUUUAGUUCAGUUUAGUUUUAGUUUAGGUUUAUUCUGUAAAAUAAAAUUCAAUAAAAAAUAAAUAGAAAUAAGAAUUAAUUCGAAAUACUAAAUAAGAAAUAAGAAUAAGGAGUCUUUAUGUCGCGUUACCGAGGACCUCGUUUCAAAAAAAUACGACGCCUAAUAAAAAGCCUAGGACCGGAAAUGAUCUUAGAAACCAAUCGCGUUCCGGAAAAAAAUCUCAAUAUCGUAUUCGUCUAGAAGAAAAACAAAAAUUGCGUUUUCAUUAUGGUCUUACAGAACGACAAUUACUUAAAUACGUUCGUAUCGCCAGAAAAGCCAAGGGGUCAACAGGUCAAGUUUUACUACAAUUACUUGAAAUGCGCUUGGAUAACAUCCUUUUUCGAUUGGGUAUGGUUUCAACUAUUCCCGUAGCCCGUCAAUUAGGUAACCAUCAACAUAUUUUAGUUAAUGGUCGUAUAGUAGAUAUACCAAGUUAUCGCUGCAAACCCCAAGAUAGUAUUACGGUAAAGGAUAAACAAAAAUCUAGAGCUCUGAUUCAAAUUUCUCUAGAUUCAUCCCCUCAUGAAGAAUUACCAAAUCAUUUGACCCUUCACCCAUUCCAAUAUAAAGGAUUAGUCAAUCAAAUAAUAGAUAGUAAAUGGGUCGGUUUGAAAAUAAAUGAAUUGCUAGUCGUAGAAUAUUAUUCUCGUCAGACUUAAACCUCAGACUAAACGUAAAAUUUUCUUUCCUUCAAGCGAAGUAUAUAUAUAUAUAUAUAUAUACAUGGAUUCUUGAAAAUAAGGCAAACAGAGAGGUAUUGGGGUGUCUUUUAAUGGUGGAUGCCCUCUCUCUGUUUUGCCACUAAUUAAAAAAUAAAGUAAAAAUAAACCACCAUUUAUCUUAAGGGUAUGUUUGCUUACAUUAUUGUAUUGAAAAUUAGAAGUUUGUGCAAGAUAUAUAGAUACAUAUACAUAAAUAUCUUAAGGGUCUGUUUCACUAAGUUAUUGUUUGUACUGGCUUAUUACAUGUGCUUCUUCUCAUCUUCCUGUUUAUCUAUGAGGCUAUGAUAAUGACUAAUAAAAUUUGUCUAGAGUUGGAUCGGGUAUUUUGAGCUUACCCUGUUGGCGGGGUGACCCGAUAAGGUCUGCAUCCAUGAUGGAUAUGUUGUUUCCUUUUGCCCUGCUUAUAAUAUCUGAGCCUUAAAUUGGAAGUUUAUGCAGUAUGUAUACAUACAUACAUGCAGAAAUCUCUGUUUGCUUUUAAUGCAUGUAUGAUGAUACGUUAGUAUUUGAAAGUGAAAAUAAUGAGGCAAGUUAUCUUUUGAUUAAUAGUUUUUUAGAUUUAUCAAACAUCUCUAUUUGAUUUUUUAUUUUCUUGAUAUAUUUGUAUCUAAUUUUUCUCAAAUUGAGGAUCUAUCAAAAACAAACUCUCUAUAUCCAAUGUAGGGGUAGGGUCUAUGUACAACCUAUCUUCUUAGACCCCUUUUUAUGGAAUAACACUGUGUAUAUUAUUGUUGUUCAUUAAUUUAUAGCUUAGAAAGUUAAGUAUGAAUCGGAUACUUCUUUGUGUUUAAGGUAGUCUGAGUAUUCUUUGAUAUUUGUCGCUCUGUUUUUUCUUGUAUGAAUAUAGAAAUGCUCUGUAUUGGAUUAUAAUAUGUUGUGAGUAGUGUUUUUACCCGUUAGUAUAAGAACUUAUUCCAUUUUUACCAUAAUGAAAAAUGAAAGCAACGUUUUCAACCUCUGUUAAGCCGCUACUGCUACUACUUUACUUGUAUAUCAUGUUGGUGCUUUGUUUCUGUUUUUGUCUCUUCUACGCAAACUUCACUUGAUGUUGAGGUCUAAGUUUGCUUAGACUCUUUAAAAAUGUCAAUGUGUCUCAGUCGAAAGUGCAUAGUACGUCGCCCCAGAGGUAUUAAAGUAUAGAUCUGGACCUGAAUCAGAUGAGUGGAGCAUUGAUUUUGCUCUGUGGUUGUCGACCCUUCUUGGAUAAAAUAGAGGAUGGCAUAUUCAAGGAGUUGAGUUGAUAAUAUUUUAUUCUUGUAGCUCUACUGUUGGAUAACAUUUUAAGUGGUGUUUCAUCUUGGAAAAUUAUGUGAAAGCAUUACAAUCUUUAAGCUCUACUAGGAAAUAAACUUUAUUUUGUCGAAGUGGCAUGUUUACCAUUGUUCACUUUGCAUAAUAUGUUUCAUAUUUACUUGCCUUUCAUUGGAAUAUUGAAAUUUCUCUUUCUGAUUAGCCAUUUUUACAUUUGAAAUUUAAAAUUUCCAUUUGCAAUAAGGUAUUAGUGAUGAAUCUCCUGCGUAGUUUUCCUGUAUUUACUUUAGUUCUUGAGUAGCUUGCUUUGUAGUUUACUUAAAAUUGUUAUUUGUUCCUUUGAGAGUUUUAACUAGUUCUUUUCAUGUUUGAUAAAUUCUUUCUGCUUUAGCUGAUUCAUUAUUGUUUCUAACUCCGGUUCUACUAUGCCAAGGUCCUAUGAAAUAAGCCUGAUUUUCAUCGCAAGCCAUGGCCAACAACUAUAAGCAACGGUGCUAAAUUUUUUUUUUAAGAAAUUAUUGGUGAAAGAUCCUCGUGCUACACUUACUCCUACACAAGCCUUAUGUAAGUAAUGGUAUUCUGAUUUAGUACAACUUUUAAAGUGAUUUUUAAGUUUUACAAUGACCAAGCGUCCCACUUGUGGGAUCACACUAAGAAUAUUGUUAUUAAAUGACCAAGUAUGAUUCAUUUAAGAUGUUUUGCAAGGUCCACAAGAUUCAUUAACUGAAAUUUGUCAUUUUUAGUCACCUACUUCAUUACAAAUGUUCAGUAUUGGAUGUCCAUUAAGACUAUCAGUCCUGACUAAGUAACUUCCACAUUCUUGAUAACUUAUCAGACAACUUUCAAAUUCAACUAUUUUCAUAGCUUUUUCACUCAAUUAGAGGUUAUUGGUGUUCUCAACACCUUUAAGAUGUUAAUAUAAUGAAGCCUAUUUUUCAAACUAAUAUAUUUGAACAUUUCAGCACACCCAUGGGUCCAUGAAGGAGGUGAUGCAUCUGAGGUUCCUCUGGACAUUUCUGUCUUGUCCACCAUGCGAAAGUUUGUCAAAUACAAUCAAUUAAGAAAAAAAUUUGUAUGGGUAACUUCAUAGCUUUCUUAUUUUCUUAGACUGUUCUCUGGCUAGGUCAAAAUAAAAUAUACAUAACAUUAACUUCAUGCAUUUCACUAUCCAGUGAGGAGGAACCCGCAGACGCACGAGAUUAAUUUUUUGCAACUGACGUGGAUAAAAAUAGUUUCAUUAGCCAAGAAGAAAUGAGAUAGGUAUUUCCCAUUUUCAUCAUCUAGUUAGUUUCUUUGUAUACAGUUUUGUAAGCUUUUUGCUAAUAUCACAAGCACUUGUAUUCCUAACGUGCAAUAAAGCAUUGUAUAAUACGUUAUGGCUUAUGACAUUCAAUGUUAAUGCAAGCCCUUGGUAAGGAUCUUCCUUGAAAGAAGAAAGAAUCAUGGGUUCUUGAGAUUCUUCAAGAGGUAAGUUCAUUAUCUAGGAAUAAAGUCAAAAAAUGUAAUGUGACAUGAUAAAUAUUAAGUUCCUGCAAUGUAAUUACCUGAUACGACUUCACGCUACUUAUUUGCGCCCAAUUUAGUACCUACUCCUCUAAAAGGGAAAGAAAAGGAUAAAUUCGCUAAACAGCCAUCCAGAUAAAGGCCCCCAAAGAAGAAGCGAACGAAAAAAAAGAAGAUGAACGAAUGUGAUGGCACAUUAGUAGUUCUGUAGAUCUGAAUCAUAAAUCCAUAUGAUAAUCUGAGGGAUUACUCAACAAUUUUCAAUGCUACUUUUUUGCAUAUACUUGAUUACUUGAUUUGUUCUGCGGUUCAAAAUUGUGAAGCAUUUUAUUCAUUGUUUGGCAGAUUGAUAGUAACACACAUUGGCUUGGGAAUGCUGCAAACACUUGGAAUAGUGAUGUUCUGCGUGAACUUUUUACCUGCUAAAAGGCCAUCAGGAAGAAAGUUGUGGCACUUCUUAUAAAUGUGAAAAUUUCACCUGAUCAAGAAUUUGGGAAAACAUUUCAUCCUCUAAUAAAACAGUAAUCAACAUAAAGUUCAUUAUUUUUAUUUUGUUUCUUGCUUUUGACUAAGAAGAGUAGAAAUUAAUUUUCCUUAGUUCCAAAGACAUGAGCAUGUCUACUCAUUGUUCAAAGUUUGGAUAAUGUUUUGGGGUCGAUUAUGUACAUAUUUAGAUAUAUGGUGUUUGAUACCAAGUCUACAGUAUAUAUACAUAGAAAAUAAUGAUUUCGGUUUGCAUGUAUAUAAUAAAAGGUUACACUUUAUAAGUGUUAUUGUAGAAGAGGUAUAAAAGCUGCACUUUUAAAGCGUGGCCAAUAACAAAGCUAAGGUCAUGCUUUUCAAGUGUAGAAUUAUGAAAUAAAACUCUUUCCAAAGGGAUGCUACAAAGCGUUGCCUUUGUAAUUCAUUGACCACGCUUUUUAAGUUGGGUUGAUAUGGCCACACUUAAAAGCGUGGUUUAAAGUCAAAGGUUAUUCCAUUUUGUCCCACUCCUAGAAAAGUGUAGCCUAAAGGUCGAAAGCAUCACCUUUGAACAAAUGCCACUCGUUUUACUACUUUAGGCCACACUUUAUAAGGGUGGCCAAAAGAUCAAAAUGUUGUAGUGAUUGUUAAUCACACGGUUAAGGUUCAACUUACCAAUAUCAAGUAAAACAAUUAUUAUCAUCUCCCCUCUUUAUAUUAUAGGAAACAAUCAAUUUUAUAUACCUAGUCAAUUUAUCUUAUGUUAGUGACAUCAACUACACAAUUCACCUUACAUUAAAAUCACCAAGGUUGUGCCAGACAACUAAAUUCAUCUCACUUUAACCAAUCACCUUUUAGGCAUAGUUAAUAAUCGAACUCAUUAACUAGAUUAUUCACACAAGAUGACGCAAUAGCACUUCAAGCUCAAAUGUAAUCAUCAAAGAUUGGACGACACAAGGAUCCCUAAUAUCAUUAUCAUUAAUUGGAGCACACAAGGAUCCAAAGUAUCAUUAUCAUUAAUUGGAUCAUACAAGAUGUCACAACCCAAUUUACAAGUCAUAAGGGCACUUACCAAAUUCCUUCGGUAGGUAAGCCAACACCUUAACCCGGAGUUGACGCAAUUGGUUAACAAGGAAAGAAAUGCCCAUUGGCCAAAAUAAACCGACAUAAUUUUUGUAUAAACAGUGUUCCACUAUAAAAAUAUAGUCAAAUACGGAUACCAAUUCCACGACCUGGUAAUAUCAGUACAAGAGCACAUAAAUAUGGUAGAAAUAGAAAUAUAAUCCAAAAAUCUUAAAUAGUCAAUACAUUUGUCUUGAAUAUGAAAUACUUAAUCUAAGAUAAAGGGAAUGCGACUCAAAAGUCUAAGAGCUAACCCUAUCUCCUGAAUGUCAACACUGUACGAAGUACGAACUCAACUCAAGGAUGGUGGCUAGUACUUGGAUCUACACCAAAAAGGUACAGAAGUGUAGUAUGAGUACCAAAACAAUGGAUACCCAGUAGGCAUCAUCUGUCAAUUGAGCUAAGUCAUGAUAUAAAGAUUAUAUAAUACAAGAUCAACAUAUCUAAGUCAAGGUACAAAAUCAAACCUAAAUCGUCUUCAUCAUUAUUGUAUAUAAUAUAAGUAAUUAACCAGAAUAAAAAUAUACCAUAACACAUCAUCACAUAUCAAUACCAUCGUUCAUAAGAGAUAAAUGAGUGAAUAAUAAAACAAUAGGAACACAUUCACAAGCAACACAAAUACAAAGUUCACACCCAUACAUCAACUAGAGCAUAAAGUAAAGAAAUCUAUCACGACGUCCCAUACCAUCGGAUAUUACAUCCAAGGAAAGAAUAACAAUAUAUAUAUACAUAACUAACAACAUAUCCAAAACUCAACAUUAUUUGACCAUAUUUUGCAUUUAUCACAAUUGAACAUUUUCUCACCUUUCAUUAGGAAACAACCUCAACCAUAGGUCCUCAUUCCAUAUUAUCAUCAUUAGACAUGAUUUUAUCCAUUUUUACUAACUAAUGAAUAUUACCAUACAAUGGUCAUUACCUAACCCAUUAACCUCUAGUCAUCAAGUCAUAUAAUCAUUUAAUAGUCAACUAGUCACCACAUAGCUUAUUCUAGUGGCCAACAUUCCUUCACUAAUUAUUAUUUAAUGCUAACAUUACUUACUAGAUGGAUCAUCAUUUUACAACUAGAUACCACUUACCAACUGGUCUUAUUCAUCCUUAAAAAAUAAUCGUUACAGCUCUCUAGUUAUCUAUAAACAUUGACUACUCUACUUUAUAAGUAUUUAACACUAGUGAUCCACAACCGAUUCCCUAAGGUCAAUAUUAAACUCUCAUUUCUCACAUGGAUAUAUAUUAAUUUAUCAUACAUAUCAAUAUCAACAUAUCCCUAGACUUGAAUUAGGUAUCAAUAUCAUCAACAUAUCUUCCAAAGUCAAACCGGGUAUCAAUAUCACCAACAUAUCUCCUGAACUUGAAUCGGGUAUCAAUAUAACCAACAUAUCUCCCGAACUCGAACCAAGCAUCAUCACAAUAUCAAUAUAUCCUUUGGCCUUGUCUGGCAUCAUCAUAACACACUACAUCUUUCGGUCUUUAUCGGACAUCAUCAAAAUAUCAACAUAAAUAAAUAAAUGCCAAUAAAUAAAAAACAAGCCCCAGAAGGGCUCAAGUAAAGUGCGAUACCCACGAGGGCUAAAGUAAAUGACAAGCCACACGAGGAUUAAAGUAAAAGAGAAGUAAGAAAGAGUAUACCUUCAAAUCUCAUCAUUCAUUGUUGAAGAAAAUUUAACCAUAGAUGUAUGAAUUUAUAUAUAUAUAUAUAGCAUAAAUAUUACAAUGCAUUAUCGGAUUCAACAUGGUUAGUAGCAUAGCCCCUCAUGAAAUCAAUAAAUAUGCCUCCUAGAGCCUUAGCAUCAAGACUCACAAUAUUCGUAACGAGAGGGAUUUCUAGCAUAAUCAUUGGUUCGGUUACUAGAAAAAGGCAUAACUUAAAAUAUAUCAUAUCCCAAAGCCCAAAAUAAUAGUCUAGUCAACGGCCUAAAUGGUUACAUAGUCAUGAGCUUGAUUAAUAGCAAAAUCCAUAGUUACUCAUAACAUUAAACAUAAUUUAUUCAACAACCAAAUUUAUUACUUAUCUGAUGAGGCAAAUAAUAAAUUUAAUCCUAAUACAAGUAAAGAUAAAUCCAACUUAUAUGAUACGUGCUUUCUACAUCAAGAUCUCAUAAACAAUGUCCCCACUGCUAUGGGAAUUAAGCGGUCAACCUGUUGGAUAAAACACAAACUGGAGCAUAAGGUUAGGAAAUUUUAAUAGUAAACAACAUACAUGUAGGGCUACUUGUAGACAUAUAACAUGCGGCUACAAAGAAUUAAGAAAUUGUUUUAGGUUAUUGAGUUUUUAGUUUACUUAUAAAAUGUUAAGUACUGAAUAGUUCUACUAGAUAGUUUCCUUAAAAUCUACUAAAAUAACAACUGAUCAAAAAUUCCUAGUGAACUAUCAAAGACUAUUCAUUAUUAUUGACAAACAAUUCAUCAAAGCAUUCAAGAUUUAUCACAGUUCUAAACCUCUACAAACGAAAAAUACAUAUCUUUAAUACUAUAAACAACUAAACAACCAAAAUUUUAACACGAGAUCUUACAAAAUGGGGACACUUAACCCUAACAUGACUGACAUUGUCACUCUCAUCUAACUAAAUCACCUAUAGCACUCUUAUUCCAUCCAUGACACAUGAAGUCCAAAUAACCAAUAUUCUAGCCUACAAGUCAAGUAUUCCAAAAUAUAAUUCAAAUGGCCAAAAUAAUUCAACUAAUCCCAAGUGUUACCAUUUAAUCAAUACAACACCUAAAAACCUUCUCAAUCCAACAAUAUAUCAUAAUUAUACUAUAACAUAGCUCAAUCUAACAAGAAGUAAGCCUAACAUAUCUCAAAUUCAAAGAAAACUCGCGAAUCACUAAACAUUUGCUUUUCCUUUUGGAGAAGCUUCUUCAAGGUUCCAAGCUAUCAUAAACACAAUCUACAUAUCAUUACAAGAAUUUUGAUUUCUAUAUUGCACCAUUGUGCUUUUGUUCCAAAAUGACAUUAAAAACCUCAUAAGUGGGUUCCACAUAUGAAAAAUAUAUUUUCGAGAUUAACCCAGCCUUCAUACAUACUAGGGAACCAUAACCCUCAAGAAACAAGUGAAAAUCAAGCUUAUUUGGUCUAAAAUAAUGCCGUCAAGCUAAUUGGGGUUUUGAUCAAAAAUUCAAGAAAUUAGAGUAUGAAAUGGAAGGAUUUUUACCUUAAAUCCGUUGUUAGUCGCAAAUAUACAUGUUAAACAAGCUUCUAAAUCACCCCCAAGAAUUAAUAUGAAGCUGCCAAGUCUUUAUAGGGCUGCUAGGGUUCAAAAGGAACUGAAAAUGCCAAAAAUUCUAUCAAAGGGCCUUUUUAUACAUUUAAAUGGGUCCGCAAGGUCAAAAACUAUUUUUGAUCUCACAGGCUCAUUCAAACUCUAUUUUUCACGAAUGAACUUUGUAACCCUAAUAAAUUUAACAUACGCAUUGAUGAAGUUGGAUUUUUCAUCUAAGUUCAUUUAGACUACAUGUGGGUCCCACACCUAUAUCUUUCGAUUUUUGACUUUUCGACUAAUGGGUCAAAAUGAGCUUAGGUGUAGUAGGAUCCGAACCAAGGGUCUAUCUAGCCUAAAGUCAAUAUUAAGGAGAUAAUGGUACAGUUAGAAUUUGAAUACGAAAUCAUUUUAUUGAAGUUUUCAUUCAUGGUCAUUUAGAAUCGACGAAGAUUUUAAACUAUAAAUUCACUCUAAAAACAAAUGAACUAUCCGGUAACCAAACUAUCAGUUCCAGCAAGUCAUAAAUGACUUGGGGAAGCUAUGAAAAAUCUCUAAUGGUGAAAAUAAAUAGUAAUACAGAAAAUGAUUGAAAGGGCCAUUACACAAGAAUCCUAAAUAUUAUUGUCAAAACCAAACUACACAGGGAUCCCAGAUAUUAUUAUCAUCAAUAAUUUCACCGAACAUGGAUAUCCAAAUAUAUUGUCAAGGACCAAAUAGAAAUAAAGGGAUAUUUCAAAUUAUUGAAAAUCAAUACAUUCCUCAAAUCGCAAAAAUAAAGACAUACCUCAAAAUCAUACCCAACCUUUAUGAUUUUCUAAUAUCCUAUUGCAACCACUCAUCUCAUUACUUUCAAUAAUCAUUUGAACUUAAAACGUUUGACAAUCGUAAAACUAUGUAAUAGUAACACUAAAAAAUGUCCAUCCAUAUAAGUAAUACACGUCGCAUUCUAUCAUACCACAUCAAAACAUUUAAAGCACAAGUAUCUUCAGACAAUAUCAAAUGAAUUUUUAUAACAUAAACAAUUCAACCUUUAUGCUUAUUAUUGACCUUUACUUGUUGGAAUAUCCUAUUCUAAGCUUUAGUAUUAGUGAGAUACCAGUUGGAACCAAAAAAUCAUUUUGAUAGUUGAGAUACUAAUUGGAAUCUGCUAGAUUCCAAUUAUACUCAACUCAGGGACAUAAAAAAUGUGAUAGAAUCCUUGAUGACUUGUAGCUUUCUACAGAUUUGAUGUAGAUAUCAAAACACCAAUUCGUAGAACUCUACUCAACAUUUGAUCUUGUAUUGGGAGAUCAGUAACCUAGACUCUGAUACCAUCUAGUCACAACCGAACCCACAGAUCAUGUCGGAUACCUACCCAGCUCUAUCCUAGAUAGGAAAACACUUACCACCUAACCAUUAAAUUAUUAUGGAUGACAUUGUUAAAUCUUAAACAUAAUUAAAUCCAUGAAUAAAUAACCUUUUUUUCAACAACAAAAAUUUAUUACAAAAAGAUAUAUUAUGGAAUUGUACGUACAAAUUUCUUUGAACCUUGUUUAAAUUGGCACAAGAGAACUAUAUACAGAAUGGUAACAUUCAUGACACAACAUCCAUGAAAGAUCGAGAGAGAAGGAGCUUUUGGAGAAUGAUCACUGUCACUUCUACAGAAACUACAACUAAUCUGCAAUAUGGUUAUAUCCUUAGAUUAGGAUAUAGUAAGUAUAGUAUUAGCACAAACCAUACAUACUAACAAUUAUUAUUGGUCUACCAGGGUUAGAAAUAAAUAAUAAUGAUGACAAAUAGGUAAUAAACAUUGAGUUAACUUUAAUUCUAGAUACUAAAGCACAUUUAUCCAAAUAUUACUACAAACACAUAGUCUCUCUAUGAACCACCAAAAAUUUAUCUAUAUUAUGUAUAUUUAUUCUUGGAUAAUGCAUAUAUCGUACAAUGUCAUUUCAACUUAUGUAACCCUGUCACAAUCCUUGCAGCGAUAUCUCUAUAAGUUUCACUCUACUAUUAACUAUCAAAAAUUCCAUAACCAAGAUAAUUGAUAGUAUCAACUGCUUUACAAGAUAGGAAUCACAAUACAAAUCACAUAUAUAACUAUAUACAUAGAAAAAUAUGAGUUUACAAAAUUUUGUGUAACACCCUCAAAUUUUGGCUAUUUUAUUUUUGUUUUUUCAAUACUUAAAAUAUCAAUUUUUGGCUCAAGUCAUGAUCAGAGGUGUUAAAAAGGUAUCUCAGAGGAAUUUUGGAAUUUUUGGAUGAAGUUUGGGUUAUUUUUGGGACACAGAGGCAGUAAGCCUCGACGAUAACCCUACAUCACACAGGCUGGAUCUCGCAAUGGGCAUCAUACCACCGAGAUAGGAUCACACGCUAGGUGUCGUUACGUGAAGUCUAGUCCCUGCGAUAGCCACCACAUUAAGAAGGCUGUGUUUUUUGGGGUUACUUUCAAAUAUCUUAGAGGGACUUUUUAGUCUUUUCCCCUUUAAACUAUACACCACAAUUUAAAACAACCAAAAAUAUAGUAUUGUCUUUAUGAAAUCCCCAAACCAUUUUCCCUUUAGAAAAAAAAAA
This 17172-nucleotide long non-coding RNA is filed under the name Capsicum annuum. RNAcentral's name for it is "long non-coding RNA (CANN_LNC001762)". The stretch from base 5989 to 6061 matches the Rfam family "tRNA". Lineage: Eukaryota; Viridiplantae; Streptophyta; Magnoliopsida; Solanales; Solanaceae. The record is from RNAcentral.